This is a long non-coding RNA of Melospiza georgiana, 177 nucleotides long. RefSeq lists it as uncharacterized. The record is from RefSeq and is a predicted model, not a curated record. The transcript is spliced from 3 exons. NCBI's taxonomy places the organism in Eukaryota, Metazoa, Chordata, Aves, Passeriformes, Passerellidae.
GCGGCGGCGGCGGCGGCGGCAGCGCACGGCGGACCGGGCGGCGCUCGCCAUCGAGAAGCACCCCAACGUGAGCCUGAGGUGGUUCCAGCCGGUGCAGGCCGGCAAGUCCCCCCCGAGCCCCCCCCGGCUGUACUACCCCAACGAGGGCUACAGCGAGGUGGGCGAGGUGCCGCCCCC